Long non-coding RNA from Mandrillus leucophaeus (drill), 1500 nucleotides. RefSeq lists it as uncharacterized. The transcript has 6 exons. Lineage: Eukaryota; Metazoa; Chordata; Mammalia; Primates; Cercopithecidae. The record is from RefSeq and is a predicted model, not a curated record.
CCUUUUUAUGUACUGCCCUAUGGAGAGGCACACAUGUCAAGAAACUGAGGGAAUGCCUUCCAGCCAACAGCCAGCCAGGAACUAAGGUGCUCAGUACAGCAGCCUCCACAAGACUGAAUAAUGCCAACAGCUAUUUGAUUGUGCUUGGAAGAAGAUCUCCAUUUAGUUGAACCUUCAGAUGAGACUGCAGCCCUGGCCAGCAAACAAAUUGCAGCCUAUGGAAAGACCUUAAGGCAGAGACACCCAACUGAACCACCCAAGGGCUCUGACUUACAGAAACUGUGAGCACAUAGUGAAAUGGCCUCUACCUUAUUUCGAAAGAAUUUCUGGGAUAAAGUUCUUCAGUGAUAACACGUUUGAACGCGAAUCAGAGCGAACGACGUGAAAAGAGUUCUGUUUCUCCUGGAAGGAUGCCACUUGUUUCCACUCCCAGGGAAAUGUCUUCCAAGCUCUUUACCAAAUCUGCAAGCUGAACCAACUCAACUGUGGCUGCCUUGCCCACCUGAAGACCUCAGGAUCCACCAGCAGCCCAAGACACCUCGAAGCUGGUGCAAGGACAAGUGUCGCCUGCACACGUCAGCACAAAUGGGAACAUGAUGAGUGAUGCUGCCUAGAGUUGAAGGAGGCCAGGAGCACCAGAAGCUGGAGGAGGCUGGGGUGGAUUCUCCCCUGGGGACUUCAGCAGGAGCACGGGCUCCUGACACUUCAGUUCCAUCUCUUGUUUAAAGGCACCCAGUUUUUCAUCAUUUGUUACAGCAGCUUGGAAAACUCACACACAAGUGAAGCCCCGACCUACCCCACAAGUGCCCAUCUGAGCAUCCCUUGUUGGCUCUGAGCAGAGAGUUGCCACCACUACCUCCACGUCUUGCAACCCCUCUUCCCUUCACUUUGACUGCCACCUUCUUCAUUGCCCAGGAAAAAAAAUAAUGAAAUUUCACCAUUAAAAGUGUUUCAGUGCAGUUUGCUAUGGGAACACUGGUGAGUAACCCAAAUGGCCAGUUGUCCUAAUAGCCACCAUGGAUUGGAUGGAUGCUAACAACAGGCUUAGAACUCCCCAUCUGUUGCCUCCUUUUAUCCACAUGAGAAUCAGACAAGUAGAUGCUGCUGGUAUUACUGUACUUUUCUCGUUUUACAGGUCAGGAUGGGGAGGGUUGAGGAGGUUAAGGAUGUUGUUUGAGGUCACACUGCAGUUAAGAAAGGAAAAAGGACUUAGAAACUUAUUCUUCCAACUUUAGAACCAAGGUCAGUGACCAAGGCCCUGCUUAGAACUUUCUGAAGGUCACAGCUGGCCUUCUACCUGGAGUUUUGACUUCCUUUCUGAGAUAGGAACUUGAAUGGCAAUCACAAGAAAGUUCAGAACUUCUCUUUCGUAUUUUAGGCAUUCCUUUAUUUUUAAAAUUUAUUUUAAUUUACGAAUACUAAUUGUAUAUAUGUAUAAGGCAUGAUAUGAUAUUUUGAUAUGGCCACCUUGUGAAAUAACUAAAUGAGUCUCAUUACCAA